Molecule: ribosomal RNA, 240 nt
Filed under: uncultured bacterium
Lineage: Bacteria
Description: partial 16S ribosomal RNA
Rfam family: Bacterial small subunit ribosomal RNA
Source: RNAcentral
GAUCCUAGCUCAGGAUGAACGCUAGCUACAGGCUUAACACAUGCAAGUCGAGGGGAAACGACAUCGAAAGCUUGCUUCCGAUGGGCGUCGACCGGCGCACGGGUGAAUAACGCGUAUCCAACCUGCCCACCACUUGGGGAUAACCUUGCGAAAGUAAGACUAAUACCCAAUGAUAUCUCUAGAAGACAUCUGAAAGAGAUUAAAGAUUUAUCGGUGAUGGAUGGGGAUGCGUCUGAUUAG